UCCCUGGUGGCUCAGAAGGUAAAGUAUCUGCCUACAAUGCAGGAGACCCAGGUUUGAUCCCUGGGUUGGGAA
Molecule: non-coding RNA, 72 nt
Organism: Bos taurus (domestic cattle)
Lineage: Eukaryota; Metazoa; Chordata; Mammalia; Artiodactyla; Bovidae
Source: Rfam